RNAcentral lists this ribosomal RNA (292 nucleotides) under uncultured bacterium. RNAcentral's name for it is "partial 16S ribosomal RNA". It matches the Rfam family "Bacterial small subunit ribosomal RNA", at positions 505 to 796 of the family's 1533-position model. The record is from RNAcentral.
GUGCCAGCCGCCGCGGUAAUACGUAGGGUGCGAGCGUUGUCCGGAAUUACUGGGCGUAAAGAGCUCGUAGGCGGUUUGUCGCGUCGUCCGUGAAAACUUGGGGCUCAACCCCAAGCUUGCGGGCGAUACGGGCAGACUUGAGUACUGCAGGGGAGACUGGAAUUCCUGGUGUAGCGGUGAAAUGCGCAGAUAUCAGGAGGAACACCGGUGGCGAAGGCGGGUCUCUGGGCAGUAACUGACGCUGAGGAGCGAAAGCGUGGGUAGCGAACAGGAUUAGAUACCCUGGUAGUCC